This 480-nucleotide ribosomal RNA is filed under the name uncultured bacterium. RNAcentral's name for it is "partial 16S ribosomal RNA". It matches the Rfam family "Bacterial small subunit ribosomal RNA", at positions 28 to 507 of the family's 1533-position model. The record is from RNAcentral.
GACGAACGCUGGCGGCGCGCCUAACACAUGCAAGUCGAGCGAUGAAAUUUUAACCGAUCUCUUCGGAGAGAAGAUAAAAUGGAUUAGCGGCGGACGGGUGAGUAACACGUGAGAAACCUGCCUUUCACAAGGGGAUAGCCUCGGGAAGCCGGGAUUAAUACCCUAUGACACAUUUCCUUCGCAUGGAAGAAAUGUUAAAACUCCGGUGGUGAAAGAUGGUCUCGCGCCUGAUUAGCUAGUUGGUGGGGUAACGGCCCACCAAGGCCAUGAUCAGUAACCGGCCUGAGAGGGUGAACGGUCACAUUGGAACUGAGACACGGUCCAAACUCCUACGGGAGGCAGCAGUGGGGAAUAUUGCACAAUGGAGGAAACUCUGAUGCAGCGACGCCGCGUGAGCGAUGAAGGCUUUCGAGUCGUAAAGCUCUGUCCUAUGGGAAGAUAAUGACGGUACCAUAGGAGGAAGCCCCGGCUAACUACGUG